CGGGCGAGAGCGGAGAGCAGAGGAAACUCGAGCCACGUCCGUGCGCACCGGGACAGCGGCCAGAACUGCUGGGCGGGGGAUCGAGGCAGCUGACACCAAUCUCAGUGAGCAGGAUCUAGGAGUCCAUUUCUCUUUCAAGAUUCCAGGGACUAACAGUAAGCCAUCGGAGAGACCAUCAAAUCCCACCCCCUCAUUUGACAGACAGGAAAAGGAAAGCCUGCAGAAGACAGGUGGCUUGCCAGAGAUCACUCGCAGAACUGGUGUUCAAAGAGACUGUUUCUGUUAAACCCAUUUUGUUGCACAAGAGAAGAGCCCCUUCCUUUCAACUUUCCAGCUGGAACCAAGACCAGACCUUUCAAACAAGCCACUUUCAGUAAACGCAAAACAGGAACUAUGUGUCCCAGGCUGGUCUCAAAAUCUU
RNAcentral lists this long non-coding RNA (421 nucleotides) under Homo sapiens (human). RNAcentral describes it as "HSALNT0389819". Lineage: Eukaryota; Metazoa; Chordata; Mammalia; Primates; Hominidae. The record is from RNAcentral.